AGUCCCCAACCAGGUAGUCUACACCUACCGACAUGACUUAGACCACUUGUCAGUGACUUCAUGAACUUGUACCCUGUUUUGGUCUGGCCGCCCCUAACUUUCUUCCAGCUUACUCCUAUACCACUGAACAUCGCACGUCGAGACAAAAUGAUUAAUAACCUUUCAGGAUUAACGGCUUAUAUCCGACUAUGGAUUGUCGGUAACAACGUAGAACUUCGUACAUGUAUGUACAUCAAUUCGAGCAAUUUCAAAGGUAACACGUGUACAUCAGUUCAGGUUGGUGUAUUUUAUAGUACAGCUAGAUGAAAGUGUUUGCACAGAUCGACAGGAGUCCUAAUAAUAGAAAAGAUUAAGCAUCCAAGAUACAAUUAUAGAAAAAGUGGACGGUGGUGCCAUUUCGUGAAUUGCUUGAAGUUAGACAUUAACACCAUUGAAUGCCGACCGGCUCAGUGAUCUACAGUUUAAGCGUUCACGCGCAAAACUGAUAGGUCCUGGGUUCAAAUCCGGUGAGGCGGGAUCGUCGACGCUCACUGUCGACGAGUCCUAUCCUAAGACGAAUCGGUCAUCCAGUGCUUCCAGGUUUUCCAUGGUGGUCUAGCUUGAAUUGGCUCAUGAAUUUAAUCAUUAAAAAGUUACAAAUUAGUGGGAUAAAAAAUAUCUAUGAAGAAAUUAAAAUAUAAGGGAAAAUGAAGAGUGAAUACGCGUAAGCCAUUGCGAAAGAUUUUGAGACAUAUCAUUCAAGGUCUCUACAGAUUGGUCAUGAUGAUAACACGAACCUCAACGAGGUAAUUUACGCGUACAAAUAUCGCGAAACAUAACAUAAAAUAACUAAAUAGCAAAAUAUCAGGAGAUAAGUGAGUGUUUUAGCGUCAUUGUAACCGACUGUGAGUCAUGUUACCUAACGUUUCGGAACUUGAUGACCCAUGCGCAUUUUACAAAUAUACGCUUAAGUUUAUAUUUAAACUGUUGAAGACCACGAAAUUGUUUCAACUGAAAUAACAAGCGACACACUUAGGUUGCACGAAAUUGAGCAAUAACGGGUUUAUGUUGCCCUUAGGUGUCCGGGCCCCAGGUGCGCUAUAACGACGGUGCCAGCGAGUUUUGAAUCCUGACCCGAAAUGGUUUGGCAAAGUGUUUCGUCACCGUCGGGGCUUGCAAUUGUUCCCCGUGGACAAGGAAUUCCUUGUAAGUGCACUGAAUACGUCGCUGCCCUUUGUACACACCGCCCAUCACUACUACCGAUUCAAUGAUUUGGUGAGGCCGUUGUAGUGUUUUCUUCGCUCGAAUAAUACUUAGAUGACCUAAUUUGACAAUUUAGAUUCAGUAAAAGUCAUAACAAGGUUUUCGUAGGUGAACCUCCGGAAGGAUUAUUU
Molecule: non-coding RNA, 1373 nt
Filed under: Schistosoma mattheei
Lineage: Eukaryota; Metazoa; Platyhelminthes; Trematoda; Strigeidida; Schistosomatidae
Description: Eukaryotic small subunit ribosomal RNA
Rfam family: Eukaryotic small subunit ribosomal RNA
Source: Rfam by way of RNAcentral